UGUCAAUGUGUUAACAUUUAACUUGUUUUUAGAGAGGUAAAUAGAGGUAAAAGAGCGGAAAUAGCGUUACUGUUGUUCCUAAUUUGAUGGCUUUGACGGCAUGAGAGGGAAGAAAAGUCAAGUGUGGCUAUUCGUUCGUGUUUAAAAUGGGCAAAUGCUCCUUCUCACGUUAUCUCUUUUGUAUACAACUGAAACAUUAAUUGGCUCACCUGAGGUACCACCAUUCAGAGUUGUAGCGUUCUGGGGGUGUAUUCCCGCCGAACACGCCCCAUCUCCACUGGUCGAUGAGGUAGCCAAAAGGAAGGAAGGCUAUCUUCUCCAGAGCCAUCUUUAACAGGAUCAGAAGUCACGGAAUCCAGUAGUCCAAUGGUCUUCAGAUGUUUUGGAGUUGAAACCGACAAAGACAAGACGUCGCCGAUAGCCUCGUGAAAUCCAGGAUUGGCCCCACGACGGAAGCCCACCGGUUGGUCCUUGUACUGCAGGUAAUACUGGAUGUGGCCCAUCUCGUGGUGGACGGUAAAGAGCUGCUCCAUCGUCACAGUCGUACACUGCUUGAUCCUAUAACACAUGCAAUCCAUUAAUAUACACAACAUGUUUUGAUGCAGUCAAAAGAGGUAGAGGAGUAACCCAAAUAAUACAAUGAACAUUUGAUGUCCACUCUUUUUCAAGGCCUGUAUUUUAAAAAUACGAUGAAA
Long non-coding RNA from Entelurus aequoreus (snake pipefish), 695 nucleotides. RefSeq lists it as uncharacterized. Lineage: Eukaryota; Metazoa; Chordata; Actinopteri; Syngnathiformes; Syngnathidae. The record is from RefSeq and is a predicted model, not a curated record. The transcript is spliced from 3 exons.